CCGGACGACAUCGGACAACGACGUACCUGCAUGGGGUGCAGGUGGUCGGAGGUUCAAAUCCUCUCGCCCCGACCA
RNAcentral lists this transfer RNA (75 nucleotides) under Cupriavidus taiwanensis. Its description in RNAcentral is "tRNA-Pro". Lineage: Bacteria; Pseudomonadati; Pseudomonadota; Betaproteobacteria; Burkholderiales; Burkholderiaceae. The record is from RNAcentral.